GGUAAAUGUCAAGUCAGCCCAUUUGGCAGCAUUUUUUUUUACUCUUACAAUUUUUUGUCAUCUGAUUGUUUACAUUUUGGCGUAUUUUGACAACUAAAUUGGUGGUCGAAGGACUUCAUCUUAUUUCCCACCCAAGUUGGCCACAUGUUCGAUUUCCGGCUGCCACCUUUUCAUAACCCACAGAACUGUGGCCAGGACUACUUUUAUGGGAAUCGGACCGAGCUGAGCUGAACUGAGGCGAGGCGAGGAGAACUGAAUGUGGACGUCUCGAAGGUCGACCGGGCAAUUACUUGGCUAAAAUGCUCCGUACCAACUGGUGCAAUUGCAGCUACCGCUUUUCCUCCUUGCAUCCUUUUCUCGAUUCGUCCUUGGCUUGUGCAAUUUUCUUUGGGCACAACUGUCAUUAUGGACUUUGGUCAGGCUGCAUUCAAGAUUUGUUGCAAUUUAUAUUUGCCGUGGUGGCUGGGGAGGCGAAACCGCAGCCUCCUUCUGCGCUCGGCAUGUGGAAAGAUAUUUCCCAAUAAAAAUUGGGUUAGUUGCGGAAUUUCCGUAUAUUAAAUAUU
This is a non-coding RNA of Drosophila melanogaster (fruit fly), 563 nucleotides long. The record is from Ensembl. NCBI's taxonomy places the organism in Eukaryota, Metazoa, Arthropoda, Insecta, Diptera, Drosophilidae.